Molecule: long non-coding RNA, 2333 nt
Organism: Raphanus sativus (radish)
Lineage: Eukaryota; Viridiplantae; Streptophyta; Magnoliopsida; Brassicales; Brassicaceae
Exons: 4
Source: RefSeq, a predicted model, not a curated record
AGCUCACUCUCUUCUCCUCUUGCCACGUCAUCAAAUAGGGGGAGGAGGUGCUAACACGUGUCGAUUUUUACAAAACGCGUAGUAUCAUUUAUUUUUGUUCUGGUGGGCUUCUGUUUCGUUGGGCCAUGUCGUCGAUCAAUUUAUGUGUUUAACAAAAGCGACGUGAUUAAACGCCGUAUUUCGUUAGGUCUCAAGUCUGUUCGGAUACUCAUAUCCAGAUCUGAUUUCGACGUCGGUUGCGCAGUGAUCUUUCAUCUUCUUCCUCAGCAUUGCCUGUAACCGAAUUAUCAACUUUAAGUCCUCAAUUAAUCGAUCACCCACGAUCUAGGUUCAAUGCGAGAAUUUUGCUUGAACAUCAUCUUGGUAUACAAAGAUUCUCUCUCUCUCUCGGAGCAGAAGCAUCAACUACAUCAAGCCUGUCUGAAUGCUUCAGCUCUCAUCUUCUCUUUCCCUAACGUAACUCCACCAAAUUCACUCUUUGUAGGGCUCGAUCUCCCUGCCUCUCAGUCAUGAACAUCCAUCCUCUGUUCUUGAACACACCUAAAUCUAAGUCUUUUUUUUUGAUCGGUGGCGAGAAUGCUAAGUCUGCAGCGGGAUCGUCUGUCUCCGAGCUCAAAGAGCACCGUCGCUACAGAGACGCCUCCAGCUCCUCGAUACAAAUGGUUUGUGCUUCUCUUCUUCUUCUUCCUAAUCUAUAUGUAGUUGUUUGAGAUUGUUCGCGUCUCAUUAAACUAAAAGGCUUCGAUUUCUGCUUUCUUUUGAUUUUCGUACGGGCUUAAGCGAUUGUGUUAUUUGUGGGCUUUGAAUAAUGGAUUUUGGCCUGAGAAAGAAACUAAACCUUACACCGUUAUUUGCCUGCACCUACCUCCUUCACGAGAAGCGUUCUAGGGUUCUUCGUUUUCUCCAAAAAUCUGAUUACGUCUACAAACAAUGGAGGUGCGGAUAUGGGAAAUGAGGCUUACGUGAGUCGUCAGAUGGUGUCGUUUCGUGAUCGAUCUUCCCUCUCUCGAGCCGUUACAAAUUGCAUUUAUUCACCUCCAUUCAAUGACCCUUAUCUCUUUUCUCAACUUGAACAGGCUAUAUAAGUACCUGCAUGUGGAAGGCAUUGAUAUCAAUCUCAGAAAUGCAAUGUCAAUUAUCCUGUUAUUUUGUAAAUUCGUAGAUGCUAUGUUAUACUAACGAAAUCAUUGUAUUUGGAUUUGUAGAUGGAUUAUAGAAGCAUGGUCUCUUCUUGACAGAGAUCACUGAAUCCUUGAAAACCAGCACGCUUCAUCUUCCAAUUAUUGGAAAGCUGUGGGUCUGUGGUUUAUAUACAAGAUCUCCAGCAUACAGUUUGUUCAUCUGUUGAUGUCGUGCACGGUAUGGCGUCUUCCGUAUCCUCGCUGAUUCGAAGAUGUCGAUCAUUAUCAAAGGUGGUGCUAAUAUGAGAGGAUGGACUGAGAAGAGGAGCGAUGAUGAGCUCGAGAUCUUGAGGAAUGCCGGUGGUGUGCUGCUUCAAAGAGAGAUCCCUCACUCAGUCAACAUUCUCAAGUUGCUAAGGCCUUAAAUAGAGCAGUUGUUUCAGUCAUCCUUGACGUUGGAGGAAUGGAUACGCCGUUCCCUAAUGAGCUAUUGGAUUCAGUUGAUGUCUUAAGCUAGAAUGACACUGAGCUUGGUCUCUUGACCGGAAUGCAUACUGAAACUAUUGAACAGUCUAAGCCUGGCUGUUGCAAAGUGCCAUAAGUUGGUUUAUAAUUCUUCUUUCGCACAUUUCCAGUACUGAAACUCAAUUUUGGUUACUGGCUUAGUGGGUUUUAGGCUAUCAGUCUGCCACAAAUUGUAAUUAGGGCUGUGUAUAUUAUUAACUAAAACCACAUGUGCUGUCGUCAUCACUCAGCAUUCGUUGAGCAUCUCUCGGAAACUAUCUAAUCCCUCCCCGCCGUCUCGGUUUUCACCGCCGAUUAGAAAACGAGAAGGUCGCCCCAGCUUCGUCAAACAUGUUUGGUAAGUAUCUAUUUUAGUUUUAUAUGUAUUUGCAUAGAUGGAAUCACAAGAAUAAUUAAAUUAAAAAGGAAGUUUCAGGUGAUCAUGUCAACGUGAGCGAAGGUAGUUUCAUGAGAUUGUGAAGCCUGUUUAUUCCUAUCCCUCGACAGAAAAUGGACUGUUCCUCGAGUGACCAGUUUCCUUAGUAACAUACAAAGCGUCCUCCGCUGGAAAGAGAGGGGCCAAGCGAUCCAUUUUCUUUCAAAUUUGGUUAGUUAACAUUAUUGUGUUGACAAAAAAGGUUAACAGUAUUUUAUCAUAUUAUGAAUGAUAUAUUUGAAUUCCAUAAUCUCAUAUUUGAAAAAAGAAAA